This 640-nucleotide ribosomal RNA is filed under the name uncultured marine eukaryote. Its description in RNAcentral is "SSU rRNA". It matches the Rfam family "Eukaryotic small subunit ribosomal RNA", at positions 613 to 1259 of the family's 1831-position model. The record is from RNAcentral.
UUGCGGCUAAAAAGCUCGUAGUUGGAUUUCUGUUGAGAAGGGCCGGUCCGCAUUUUGUGCGUGUAUCUGGUUCCGUCUUGGCAUCCUCUUGGGGAACGUUACUGCGCUUCACUGCGUGGUGCGGUAUUCAAGACUUUUACUUUGAGGAAAUUAGAGUGUUCACGGCAGGCAAUCGCCCUGAAUAUACUAGCAUGGAAUAAUAAUAUAGGACCUUGGUUCUAUCUUGUUGGUUCUGAGAGCUAAGGUAAUGAUUAAUAGGGAUAAUUGGGGGCAUUCGUAUUAACGUGUCAGAGGUGGAAUUCUUGGAUUACGUUACGACGAACUAAUGCGAAAGCAUUUGCCAAGGAUGUUUUCAUUGAUCAAGAACGAAUGUACGGGGAUCGAAGACGAUUAGAUACCGUCGUAGUCUGUACCAUAAACUAUGCCAACUAGAGAUUGGAGGUCGUUCUCUUUAUGACUCCUUCAGCAUCUUAUGAGAAGUCAAAGUUUUUGGGUUCCGGGGGGAGUAUGGUCGCAAGGCUGAAACUUAAAGGAAUUGACGGAAGGGCACCACCAGGAGUGGAGCCUGCGGCUUAAUUGACUCAACACGGGAAAACUACCAGGUCCAGACAUAGUGAGGAUUGACAGAUUGAGAGCUCUU